UAUCCUUUGUUGCCAGCGGUUAGGCCGGGAACUCAAAGGAGACUGCCAGUGAUAAACUGGAGGAAGGUGGGGAUGACGUCAAGUCAUCAUGGCCCUUACGACCAGGGCUACACACGUGCUACAAUGGCGCAUACAAAGAGAAGCGACCUCGCGAGAGCAAGCGGACCUCAUAAAGUGCGUCGUAGUCCGGAUUGGAGUCUGCAACUCGACUCCAUGAAGUCGGAAUCGCUAGUAAUCGUGGAUCAGAAUGCCACGGUGAAUACGUUCCCGGGCCUUGUACACACCGCCCGUCACACCAUGGGAGUGGGUUGCAAAAGAAGUAGGUAGCUUAACCUUCGGGAGGGCGCUUACCACUUUGUGAUUCAUGACUGGGGUGAAGUCGUAACAAGGUAACCGUAGGGGAACCUGC
This 409-nucleotide ribosomal RNA is filed under the name Salmonella enterica subsp. enterica serovar Bareilly. Its description in RNAcentral is "partial 16S ribosomal RNA". It matches the Rfam family "Bacterial small subunit ribosomal RNA", at positions 1106 to 1515 of the family's 1533-position model. The record is from RNAcentral. Lineage: Bacteria; Pseudomonadati; Pseudomonadota; Gammaproteobacteria; Enterobacterales; Enterobacteriaceae. RNAcentral also lists the same sequence under 1 other name.